AUUGAACGCUGGCGGCAGGCCUAACACAUGCAAGUCGAACGGUAGACAGAGAGCUUGCUCUCGGGUGACGAGUGGCGGACGGGUGAGUAAUGUCUGGGAAACUGCCCGAUGGAGGGGGAUAACUACUGGAAACGGUAGCUAAUACCGCAUAAUGUCGCAAGACCAAAGAGAGGGACCUUCGGGCCUUGUGCCAUCGGAUGGACCCAGAUGGGAUUGGCUUGUAGGUGGGGUAAUGGCUCACCUAGGCGACGAUCCCUAGCUGGUCUGAGAGGAUAAUAAGCCACACUGGAACUGAGACACGGUCCAGACUCCUACGGGAGGCAGCAGUGGGGAAUAUUGCACAAUGGGCGCAAGCCUGAUGCUGCCAUGCCGCGUGUAUGAAGAAGGCCUUCGGGUUGUAAAGUACUUUCAGCGAGGAUGAAGGUGUUGUGGUUAAUUCCUUUGCUCAUUGACGUUACCCGCAGAAGAAGCACCGGCUAACUCCGUGCCAGCCGCCGCCGUAA
This 503-nucleotide ribosomal RNA is filed under the name uncultured bacterium. RNAcentral describes it as "partial 16S ribosomal RNA". It matches the Rfam family "Bacterial small subunit ribosomal RNA", at positions 30 to 523 of the family's 1533-position model. The record is from RNAcentral.